RNAcentral lists this transfer RNA (70 nucleotides) under Flavobacteriia bacterium. RNAcentral describes it as "tRNA-Ala". The stretch from base 1 to 56 matches the Rfam family "tRNA". Rfam says of the family: Transfer RNA (tRNA) molecules are approximately 80 nucleotides in length. Their secondary structure includes four short double-helical elements and three loops (D, anti-codon, and T loops). Lineage: Bacteria; Pseudomonadati; Bacteroidota; Flavobacteriia. The record is from RNAcentral.
GGGGAUGUAGCUCAGUUGGCUAGAGCGCUUGACUGGCAGUCAAAUUAUCAUACUCAAUUCAACUUCUCUU